AAUGAACGCUGGCGGCGCGCCUAAUACAUGCAAGUCGAGCGAGAAGACGUAGCAAUACGUUUGUAAAGCGGCGAACGGGUGAGGAAUACAUGGGUAACCUACCCUCGAGUGGGGAAUAACUAGCCGAAAGGUUAGCUAAUACCGCGUACGCUUCUUGGACUUCGGUUCAGGGAGGAAAGCGAUGCCGAGGGUAUCGCGCUCUUGGAUGGGCUCAUGUCCUAUCAGCUUGUUGGGAGGUAACGGCUCACCAAGGCUUCGACGGGUAGCUGGUCUGAGAGGACGAUCAGCCACACUGGCACUGCGACACGGGCCAGACUCCUACGGGAGGCAGCAGUAAGGAAUAUUGCGCAAUGGGCGAAAGCCUGACGCAGCGACGCCGC
RNAcentral lists this ribosomal RNA (380 nucleotides) under uncultured bacterium. RNAcentral describes it as "bacterial SSU rRNA". It matches the Rfam family "Bacterial small subunit ribosomal RNA", at positions 29 to 400 of the family's 1533-position model. The record is from RNAcentral.